CCUACGGGAGGCAGCAGUGAGGAAUAUUGGUCAAUGGCCGGAAGACUGAACCAGCCAAGCCGCGUGAGGGAUGAAGGUCCCAAGCAUCGUAAACCUCUUUUGUCAGGGAACAAAGGCGGGCACGUGACCCUGACUGAGUGUACCUGAAGAAAAAGCAUCGGCUAACUCCGUGCCAGCAGCCGCGGUAAUACGGAGGAUGCGAGCGUUAUCCGGAUUUAUUGGGUUUAAAGGGUGCGUAGGCGGACUGUUAAGUCAGCGGUAAAAGCCCGGGGCUCAACCCCGGCCAGCCGUUGAAACUGGCUGUCUGGAGUUGGAGAGAGGUAUGCGGAAGGCGCGGUGUAGCGGUGAAAUGCAUAGAUAUCGCGCAGAACUCCGAUUGCGAAGGCAGCAUGCCGGCUGCAAACUGACGCUGAGGCACGAAAGCGUGGGUAUCGAACAGGAUUAGAUACCCUAGUAGUC
RNAcentral lists this ribosomal RNA (459 nucleotides) under uncultured bacterium. Its description in RNAcentral is "partial 16S ribosomal RNA". It matches the Rfam family "Bacterial small subunit ribosomal RNA", at positions 338 to 795 of the family's 1533-position model. The record is from RNAcentral.